RNAcentral lists this transfer RNA (87 nucleotides) under Tissierellia bacterium. Its description in RNAcentral is "tRNA-Leu". Lineage: Bacteria; Bacillati; Bacillota; Tissierellia. The record is from RNAcentral.
GCGGGAAUGCUGGAAUUGGUAGACAGGACAGUUUGAGGGGCUGUUGUCAGUAAUGAUGUGGGUGUUCGAGUCACCUUUCCCGCACCA